AUUGAACGCUGGCGGCAUGCUUUACACAUGCAAGUCGAACGGUAACAGGCCUUCGGGUGCUGACGAGUGGCGAACGGGUGAGUAAUGCAUCGGAACGUGCCCAGAGGUGGGGGAUAACGCAGCGAAAGCUGUGCUAAUACCGCAUGUGAUCUGAGGAUGAAAGCGGGGGACCAAGCAGCAAUGUUUGGCCUCGCGCCUCUGGAGCGGCCGAUGUCAGAUUAGGUAGUUGGUGGGGUAAAGGCCUACCAAGCCGACGAUCUGUAGCUGGUCUGAGAGGACGACCAGCCACACUGGGACUGAGACACGGCCCAGACUCCUACGGGAGGCAGCAGUGGGGAAUUUUGGACAAUGGGCGCAAGCCUGAACCAGCAAUGCCGCGUGCGGGAAGAAGGCCUUCGGGUUGUAAACCGCUUUUGUACGGAACGAAAAGGCUCUGGCUAAUACCUGGGGCUGAUGACGGUACCGUAAGAAUAAGCACCGGCUAACUACGUG
Molecule: ribosomal RNA, 492 nt
Filed under: uncultured bacterium
Lineage: Bacteria
Description: partial 16S ribosomal RNA
Rfam family: Bacterial small subunit ribosomal RNA
Source: RNAcentral